AUAGCCGGAGCCGCCGGUGAGCACGGUGCCGCCGAUGACGACCGCGGCGAUGACGUCGAGUUCCAUCCCGACGGCGAUC
Molecule: transfer RNA, 79 nt
Filed under: Catellatospora sp. TT07R-123
Lineage: Bacteria; Bacillati; Actinomycetota; Actinomycetes; Micromonosporales; Micromonosporaceae
Description: tRNA-Val
Source: RNAcentral